Molecule: ribosomal RNA, 476 nt
Filed under: uncultured bacterium
Lineage: Bacteria
Description: partial 16S ribosomal RNA
Rfam family: Bacterial small subunit ribosomal RNA
Source: RNAcentral
AACGAACGCUGGCGGCAGGCUUAACACAUGCAAGUCGAGCGAUGAAGUUCUUCGGAACGGAUUAGCGGCGGACGGGUGAGUAACACGUGGGUAACCUGCCUUGUAGAGGGGGAUAGCCUUCCGAAAGGAAGAUUAAUACCGCAUAACAUCUUUUUAUCGCAUGGUAGAAAGAUCAAAGGAGUAAUCCGCUACAAGAUGGACCCGCGGCGCAUUAGCUAGUUGGUGAGGUAACGGCUCACCAAGGCGACGAUGCGUAGCCGACCUGAGAGGGUGAUCGGCCACAUUGGAACUGAGACACGGUCCAGACUCCUACGGGAGGCAGCAGUGGGGAAUAUUGCGCAAUGGGGGAAACCCUGACGCAGCAACGCCGCGUGAAUGAAGAAGGCCUUAGGGUUGUAAAGUUCUGUUUACGGGGACGAUAAUGACGGUACCCGAGGAGGAAGCCACGGCUAACUACGUGCCAGCAGCCGCCGUAA